GGAGUCGCCUGGGCAAUCGCCGGACCCAAAGUCCGGAGGAAAGUCCGAACACCAGAGGGCAGGGUGCUCCAUAACGUGGAGUCGCGGCGACGCGAAGGAAAGUGCAACAGAGAGCAGACCGCCGUUUUUCAAGGGUCGAGGUUGGUUCCGGCAUUUGUCGGAGGCCGACGCCGUCUCUGGAAACGGUAAGGGUGAAACGGUGCGGUAAGAGCGCACCAGUUCUCCGGGCGACCGGAGAAGCUUGGUAAACCCCACCCGGUGCAAGACCAAAUAGGGGAGUGAUUGAGGACGGCCCGUCCGAGCUCCCGGGUAGGUUGCAGGAGGUGCCGGGCAACCGGCAUCCAUAGAGGAAUGAUUGCCGCCGUCCCGCGGCAGAAAUGCCUCGGGAUGGAACAGAAUUCGGCUUACGGGCGACUCCGACC
RNAcentral lists this RNase P RNA (422 nucleotides) under Desulfococcus multivorans. Its description in RNAcentral is "RNase P RNA component class A". It matches the Rfam family "Bacterial RNase P class A". Rfam says of the family: Ribonuclease P (RNase P) is a ubiquitous endoribonuclease, found in archaea, bacteria and eukarya as well as chloroplasts and mitochondria. Its best characterised activity is the generation of mature 5'-ends of tRNAs by cleaving the 5'-leader elements of precursor-tRNAs. Cellular RNase Ps are ribonucleoproteins. The record is from RNAcentral. RNAcentral also lists the same sequence under 1 other name. Lineage: Bacteria; Pseudomonadati; Thermodesulfobacteriota; Desulfobacteria; Desulfobacterales; Desulfococcaceae.